UACGUAGGGGGCAAGCGUUGUCCGGAUUUAUUGGGCGUAAAGAGCGUGUAGGCGGCCAGGGAGGUCCGUUGUGAAAACUCGAGGCUCAACCUCGAGACGCCGAUGGAAACCCCCUGGCUAGAGUCCGGAAGAGGAGAGUGGAAUUCCUGGUGUAGCGGUGAAAUGCGCAGAUAUCAGGAAGAACACCCGUGGCUAAGGCGGCUCUCUGGGCCUUACCUGACGCUGAGGAGCGAAAGCGUGGGGAGCGAACAGG
This 253-nucleotide ribosomal RNA is filed under the name uncultured bacterium. RNAcentral's name for it is "partial 16S ribosomal RNA". It matches the Rfam family "Bacterial small subunit ribosomal RNA", at positions 524 to 776 of the family's 1533-position model. The record is from RNAcentral.